ACAAACUUGGUCAUUUAGAGGAAGUAAAAGUCGUAACAAGGUCUCCGUAGGUGAACCUGCGGAGGGAUCAUUGAAAAAAACAUCGGUUGAUGUGCUGGCGACAACACGCAAGUGCACUCAAUCGAAAUCCACACCACACUUGUGCACCUCAGAGACCUUUGCCCCCUUGAGGGAGGGUCCCAUUUUACACGCUUGUCAAAGGAUGUCUUUUUGCUUUAGCAAUCUUAUACAACUUUCAACGACGGAUCUCUUGGCUCUCGCAUCGAUGAAGAACGCAGC
This 279-nucleotide unclassified non-coding RNA is filed under the name uncultured fungus. RNAcentral describes it as "partial contains small subunit ribosomal RNA, internal transcribed spacer 1, and 5.8S ribosomal RNA". The stretch from base 1 to 73 matches the Rfam family "Eukaryotic small subunit ribosomal RNA", at positions 1759 to 1831 of the family's 1831-position model. Lineage: Eukaryota; Fungi. The record is from RNAcentral.